GUCUUCUUGAUAUAAUAAGAAGUCUGACCUGCCCAGUGAAAUAUUUUAACGGCCGCGGUAUAUUGACCGUGCAAAGGUAGCAUAAUCAUUAGUCUUUUAAUAGAGGGCUGGAAUGAAGGGUUUAACGAAGUACUUACUGUCUCAUUUAAUUUGAUAUUAAAAUUUACUUUUUCAGUCAAAAAGCUGAAAUAUUAUUGGAAGACGAGAAGACCCUAUAGAGCUUUAUAUUUAAUUAUCUAAUAAAUUUUUGGAUUAAUUAUUAUUUAUUAUUUAAUAAAAUAUUUUGUUGGGGUGACAAAAAUAUAUAAUUAACUUUUUUAUUUAUAUAACAUUGAUAUAUGAAAAUUAGAUCCAGUUUUACUGAUUAUUAGAAUAAGUUACCUUAGGGAUAACAGCGUAAUCUUCCUUUAGAGUUCAUAUUCACAGGGAGGCUUGCGACCUCGAUGUUGGAUUAAGAUUAUAAUUAGGUGUAGCCGCUUAAAAAAUAGGUCUGUUCGACCUUUAAAUUCUU
RNAcentral lists this ribosomal RNA (511 nucleotides) under Anotogaster sieboldii. RNAcentral's name for it is "partial 16S rRNA". It matches the Rfam family "Bacterial large subunit ribosomal RNA", at positions 1819 to 2597 of the family's 2925-position model. Lineage: Eukaryota; Metazoa; Arthropoda; Insecta; Odonata; Cordulegastridae. The record is from RNAcentral.